This 33-nucleotide transfer RNA is filed under the name Polypedates leucomystax (Java whipping frog). RNAcentral's name for it is "partial tRNA-Gln". Lineage: Eukaryota; Metazoa; Chordata; Amphibia; Anura; Rhacophoridae. The record is from RNAcentral.
UNAAAGAGAUAGGAGUUGAACCUACGUCUAAGG